Molecule: long non-coding RNA, 336 nt
Filed under: Ananas comosus (pineapple)
Lineage: Eukaryota; Viridiplantae; Streptophyta; Magnoliopsida; Poales; Bromeliaceae
Description: long non-coding RNA (ACOM_LNC016198)
Source: RNAcentral
CGUGGCCGAUUCGUGUUCACUAGAUUAUUAAACGAAUUGAAUAUGAGCUGACUUAUUAAAAUAUCGAGCUAAAAAAUUCAACUUAUGUUGGGCUUGUUUAUUAACGAGCCGAAUGCAAGCUGACUCGGCUAGAUUAAUUGUCAUCUCUACUACUAGAUGAAAAGUUGAAAAAAAAUUAAAAAAUUAAAAUCUUAAUUUAAUAAUUAAAAUUCACAAAAUAUAUAUAUUUUUAAUAAAUGAGCAAAACAUAAGCUUAAUUUUUCAUCUCAAAAACUUAAUUUGCCGAACGCAAAGUUGCUCGCAAACAGCGAGUUGUAUUGCAAGCCCUUAUAAGAA